RNAcentral lists this ribosomal RNA (454 nucleotides) under uncultured microorganism. RNAcentral describes it as "bacterial SSU rRNA". It matches the Rfam family "Bacterial small subunit ribosomal RNA", at positions 346 to 791 of the family's 1533-position model. The record is from RNAcentral.
GUGCACCAGUCGCGAAUAGUCUACAAUGGACGAAAGUCUGAUAGUGCGACGCCGUGUGUGCGAUUAAUUCCUUCGGGAUGUAAAGCACUUUUCUAUGAGAUAAAAGCUCUUUAGGUUAAUAGCUUAUUGAGACGGAUAUUAUUAUAGGAAUAAGCUCCGGCUAACUCCGUGCCAGCAGCCGCGGUAAUACGGAAGGAGCGAGCGUUGUCCGGAUUUACUAGGCGUAAAGGGCUAGUAGGCGACUAAUUAAGUAUAUGUUAAAUCCCACGGCUCAACUGUGGUCCUGCAUGUAAUACUGGUUAGAUAGAGUACUGUAGAGGAAGGCAGAAUUCCUGGAGUAGCGGUGGAAUGCGCAGAUAUCAGGAAGAAUACCAAAAGCGAAGGCAGCCUUCUGGGCAGUUACUGACGCUGAAUAGCGAAGGUGUGGGUAGCGAACAGGAUUAGAUACCCGUGU